UGCGGGCGCUGUAGCUCCCAUCGGCGGUCGGCGCUCCCGUCGUCCUCCACGUCGCCGUCCUUCCUCCGUCUCUCCAAGCUUGUUUUUGCUUCUUUAUAUCUGCACUCCGCGACCUCUCGUGCGCCGGAGUGAACUGGGACCAGCUGGAGAUAGGGUCCAGGGGGCCGAUGGUGGCCGGCGAGCACCGGCGCCGGCAACGGGAGUGAUGGAGGAGGCGGAGGGACAGGCGCCGUUGUGGACAGCGCGCGCGCGGCGGAGCGGGCUGGGGCAGGCGCCGCCUGUCUCUCGGGCUCGGCCCACAUACUUGCACGUGAUUGGUGUAACGUUGUGGAUAAACCAAAGGCAUAUGUAUGCGUCCUCAGAACUUUGUUAUUGGUGAACAUAUUCUUACACCAUCUUCAGGCACCGAGUCGCCAAUCAAGGAUUGUGCUACAAGUGUGAAGUGAUAAUUUUACUGUUUUGAGCACUGAAGCUGACAGGAUUGAAAUUUUGACAACUCAAUUUCAAUCUGUCUACAUAUAUCACCAGGUAAUAGAGG
Long non-coding RNA from Triticum aestivum (bread wheat), 538 nucleotides. RefSeq lists it as uncharacterized. Lineage: Eukaryota; Viridiplantae; Streptophyta; Magnoliopsida; Poales; Poaceae. The transcript has 3 exons. The record is from RefSeq and is a predicted model, not a curated record.